RNAcentral lists this unclassified non-coding RNA (200 nucleotides) under soil metagenome. RNAcentral's name for it is "partial contains internal transcribed spacer 2 and large subunit ribosomal RNA". The record is from RNAcentral.
UUCGAGCGUCAUUUCAACCCUCACGCGUAGCGUGGUCUUGGGCUCUGCCGGCAACGGCUUGCCUUAAAAUCAGUGGCGGUGCCAUCGAGCUCUACGCGUAGUAAUAAACCCCUCGCGUGUGAGUCUCGGCGGUCGCUUGCCAGCAACCCCCAAUUUUUAUGGUUGACCUCGAAUCAGGUAGGGAUACCCGCUGAACUUAA